GAACAUGUUCAGCUUUGAAGGCAAAUUCACAAACCAAAGCACCUACUUCCAGGUUUGCAGUGUUCUAUUUACAAGUUGUUCAUCAACUAAACCAAGGUACCACUGUAGUUUAAUAAAUGGCAACCAUUGAAUCUUACUACUUGUUUGGUGUCUUCAUUCUGGAGGUGUUGAGGCAAACUAUAUUUUCAAAACUUUUGAACCAGGCAGUCCAAAUAAAUGGGAUUUAUUAUUUCUGGAAUUAGAAGUCCCCCUGGCCUUUGGGACAAAGGCAAUUCAAGUAAAGCCAUGUCCAUUGAGAUGACAGUAUACUCAUGACACGGGAUUUUCAAUUUUUAACUAGGGAAGUGUGGAGGAAGAGGGAGGACUUUUUUUCAUCAGCGCACAUUCUGAAAUGGAAUUAGUUCAAUUGUGCCACCGAGGCACCGUCCUAGAGACUUCCCAAACAAAAAGAUCUGUGAAACAAUUUGCAAUUUUUCCCAUGUACAAUCCAAUGAUACUCCAGAGACUUCGCAUUCCUCUAAGAUAGUUUCUAAACCUCAUUAUCCUCGAGUUUAGCACAGUGUUCUGGCCAACUGUCAGAUGGCUGUGGAUGCUGCUGCUAAUGAACUGUAAAAUGUCCAGGGAUUAAGCAUCCAAGGUUGCAAUCCUAAGCACGUUUACUUGGAAGUAUGUUUCACUGAAGUCAACAGGAUUUCAUUAUGUUGGAUGGAGAUGCUGGAAUCAUGGAUAUGAUGAUGGUAUUAAUAUAUACUGGAUAACAGUUAGCAUUGUGUUCACCUUUAGCAUGCUAAUAAACUGUGAUGAUUUCCCUCGGCUCUUGGUGCUGAUAACAUAGCACUAAGUAUCUUUUGUUUCAUUACAGCCAACACUCACCCGCUGCUCAGCCCUGAAGUAGUGGGACACCUGUUUACAAUAAGGAGUCAAUCCUACAAUGUGUGAAGUAUUAAUCAAAAAAGUUUGCAUCUCCAAUCAUAGCCAUUUCCUGCUUCCUAUUCAUCCCUCCAAUGUGUUUAUAAGUCAGGGUGUCAGAAGUUGCAGCAUCCAGUUAAGGGAAUUUGGCAUCCAAGCAGAACCGAAAGUCCCAGAAUUAAGUUACAGUCUUUCAACUUCAUUUCUAUAGAGGCCGAACUUGCCCUACCUAUCCGCUUUUUGUGAUUUUUUUCCAGAGAUUGCACCAAAAGAAGGUGAAAGUGUUUCCCCGUACAGAGUGAUGGCAACUGGCCAGCCAAGUGGCUGGGAUAACCCAUGUGACCAAUACAGGAAGCACUGUCCUGACUCGCAAUUGGCUUUGUCUUCCCCCUUCCCUGUGGCAUUGCUAUGUAGCCACAUCUGAUUGGCUGUAUAGCACAGUGAUUUCAACAGCUUCACUACGAGGUUCCUGAUGGAUUGGAGUCACCAUAGGAAGGAAAAAUGGUCUUGCCAGAUGAAAAUAGUGCUGAAACAAAGAAGAAAGCAGAGGUGAAACUUCUCUCCCCCCCCCCCCCCGCAGGCUUGAAAAACGAUGACCAUUAAAAUUUUGUUUUGUUUAGAAACACUAUGUCCCUAUACUGAAGCUACGUUUUCAGUAUGGAAAGCAAAAUGGGUGGCAUUUGGUGUAAUUCAAGUGAUAGUGAGCCCGGUGGUCCUAUUCUGUUGCCUCUGGUUCAGGUUGAGUUGCUGUCUGCUGCACUGGGAACCACUUGCGCCACCUCAGAUUUGACCCUAAAGCAAUUUGGAGGGGUAGGGCUAAAGGUUUUUAAAAGGAUUUUAAAACUAUAUUCUUAGAGUUUUUAAAAGCUUGAAGGGGGAGUGACCUGGGAUCACACAGGAUCGGAUCUGCAGCGUGUUUUCAAGUGGCUUCUCCACAAUCAAAGAAAACAAGCAGCUCAUGAAGAAGCUGUCCAAAAUCAGUGGUAAAUGGGAGGAUCAGAUCCUGUGUGAUGCAGCACCCACUCUGUACUUGUUUACAUGUGCACAUAUACCAUUUGCACAAAAGAGCAGUCAAAAAAUAAAAAUAGGAGAUGCCUCACGCCAAACUAGGUAAGGAUUUGGAGUUGUUCACAAGAAAUGUUGCCUGUUGCUUCAUUUCCACAGCCUUUCCUCCCCAUUUCCUGGCCAGGCCAGGGCAGCUUUUCUGUUAGUUUCUGGGGUUGACAAGGCAUGUGAGCCUCACCUGUCUUGAGCCUUCUCCAGCUCAGAAAUCAGACAACUCCUCCCCAAGCUAGUGAGCCCCACCUGGGCUGUGGGUCCUUGCCUGUUUCCCUCAGAACUGACAGCUGUUAGUUCUGAAAUCCUGAUGUCAGGCGUGGUACGUCCCACUUUGCCACUUUAGGCAAAACAGGAAGUGCCAAACUGCUCUGCCAUGCCACAACACCAACACCGCCAGUGGGAUACUCACCUCCGCCACUUGUGGAGAAGCUUUGCUGGCGUUGAUCCCUGAAAGAGCUUGCAAGAAUCUUAAGAGAUAUUUUGCUCUCCUAGACAUCUUGCAGGACUUUGAUGAGAUCUUGCACGACCUUACUAGAAAUCAUCUUUAUUUUAUUUUUAAAAAUAAUUGACCAGUUUUUCACAAAACAGCAGACACAUUGAUCCUGUGUGGUAGGAUGUCCAGCAGGAACAAUCGCUGCUGCAAUGAGCACACCUUCUCCCGGAUAGACACACCCACUAGUCAGAUAGGUCUCAAACUUUUCCUGCAGCUUUGCUUGCCUCUCCUUCCUUGCCUGAAGCCUCACCUCCAGCCUGUGGGUAUGCAUCUCAUCCAAGGCUCUCCAAACAUGCUUGACUUGGCUCAAGCCUUGGCUGAAUCCAGUGCACAGCCCUAGUAAUAUCAUCUACCUGCUCUUGAAGUGUAAGGCUAGAUAUUUUAGAGCACUAGCUCUUACGACGUGGGGUAAUUUUGAUUCUAGCUUGGUCCUCUGGGUGAUGUAGUAAGCAACAGUGCAAAUAUGGAGAGGUUGCCUGGUCUGCAGGACUAACUCUA
Molecule: non-coding RNA, 2959 nt
Organism: Podarcis lilfordi (Lilford's wall lizard)
Lineage: Eukaryota; Metazoa; Chordata; Lepidosauria; Squamata; Lacertidae
Source: the annotation of a GenBank genome assembly